GGGGGCGAUCGGCUUCGACGGGGGCUACGAGAUUUGGGUUGCGCGUCGAGGGUCUUACCAACCUCGUAAAUCCUGGUGGGAACUCACAACUGCCAACGAUAACGUUGAAGCGGAAGAGUUCUUCGCGGUUGCUGCGUUAGAUUAAUCUCUAACGUCAGUCCGUGAGGCGGUGAGCGCGAGUUGGUCGCGUCUCGUGCUCGCCGUAUAGAUCGCGGCUGGUUUCAGGCAGGGUGCUCCGGGCCUGAGACGAGAAAAAGGGGCACUAUCCUGGGGCGAGCCUGUCGGUGGGCGCUAACCAGGUGAUAUUAAAUCAUCCGACUACACGCGUAGACGCUCAGACGACGUACCUUCGGACCCGGGUUCGAUUCCCGGCGCCUCCACUG
This 383-nucleotide transfer-messenger RNA is filed under the name Myxococcaceae bacterium. It matches the Rfam family "transfer-messenger RNA". Rfam says of the family: Bacterial tmRNA, also known as 10Sa RNA or SsrA, is named for its dual tRNA and mRNA-like properties. Its role is to liberate the mRNA from a stalled ribosome. To accomplish this part of the tmRNA is used as a reading frame that ends in a translation stop signal. Lineage: Bacteria; Pseudomonadati; Myxococcota; Myxococcia; Myxococcales; Myxococcaceae. The record is from RNAcentral.